CCUCAAGGUACCCGCCUCCGGCCGUCUCGGUAGCUGUGGAUGAGGUCUCAAAAUUAUUCUGAUGCAAUGGAUCUUGCUUGUGAUUUUUGUGCAGUAUUUUAACCCUAUUUCCAAUUCUAAUUUAUAUGCUCCUGCGUGCAGAUCUAAUCAUUGUUUGCCAACCAAAUCUUUUGUUUAGCUCUAGUUUUUUUUCUGUAUGUUCCUGAGCUUCCCAAUAGAUUGAUUUGUUGAUUGGAUGGCGCUGCUGUGAUGCCUGGAGAGGCCUGCAGCCAGCGCGAUUGUGCGAAGCCGCCGAUGAGACUGAUACAUGCAGAACUGCUACUCUGCUAGCGUGGAUGAGCCUCAGGCAUCAGAGAUGAGCUCCUUCCCGAGUUGUGGAGUAUGUGGUUUUCUAUUUUUAUCGAGAGUUUAGACUGCUUGUCCAGGAGAAGUAAUUGUUUCAAUUUAUUGCAAAACCUGAUGAUUUUUAGGUGCUCCUUGUUGGAUCAUAUUAGUUCUUGUUCCAACCCUUGAUUUUGUAAGCAAAAUAUCUUAUUUUUAUUUCAUCUUGAAACUGACAGGACAGAAACUUGGACCUGGUUUAGUUAUGCCAUCUCGAAUGUGACAGGAGGCUGAGGAACUCGCGGUCAUUGCAUCCAGGUGGAGCAUAGAGUUAGAUAGCUGCCAUCAUGGUUGCGUCUCAGCUGGACUUCUUCAUUGACAGGAAAUCGUCAUGCAAAUUCUUAUUGUCCAUUCAGUUUUAUGAAACCAAGCCUAAUCUGCUAGUGAUGUUGCCUUUUUUUUAACUCUUGUAAUAAUACUGUACAAGUGAUUUACACAACACACGGCUCUUGUGCCAUUAUUGGUGACCAAAAUGCUAAUUCGAUGCUUGGCUGCAAGUAA
Molecule: long non-coding RNA, 882 nt
Organism: Panicum virgatum (switchgrass)
Lineage: Eukaryota; Viridiplantae; Streptophyta; Magnoliopsida; Poales; Poaceae
Exons: 2
Source: RefSeq, a predicted model, not a curated record